This 248-nucleotide long non-coding RNA is filed under the name Elaeis guineensis (African oil palm). Its description in RNAcentral is "long non-coding RNA (EGUI_LNC056759)". Lineage: Eukaryota; Viridiplantae; Streptophyta; Magnoliopsida; Arecales; Arecaceae. The record is from RNAcentral.
GCUGUGGAUGGAGCUCGGCUCCCGUAGGAGUCCGGGCGGAGUCUUCUUUGCUGUAGAAGUUGUGGAUGGAGCCCGGCUCCCGUAGGAGUCCGGGUGGAGUCUUCUUUGCUGUAGAAGCUGUGGACGGAGCCCGGCUCCUGCAGGAGUCCGGGCGGAGCGACGGGAGUUCACCAACAGUAGUCGAAAGUCGGAAGAGACAUGCGAGGGUCGAUCCUGCCAAGAACUUCGACCGAGGGUAUUUUAUACCC